AGCUAGCAGAUUCUUGGGGUCCAAAAGGAAGUCAGCCCUACAGUAUAAAGGAAGCCUUCCACAUGAUCAAUCAGUUACCCAACCUCUUUCCCUGUUGUGGCUCUGCCCUCCUCUGGGGUCUUGGAGUUCUCACCAUCAUCAGUUCCACAGCUUCUGUCUAGGAGGCACAAAGAAUAUGGCACCAGAAAGAUGCAGAAGGCAGCAGGGGGUGAAUAGCAUGUUGCAUGUGUAUACAUGAAAGGGAUUUUCAAUUUCCAGUGCAAAUUUUAAGUGUGUUUUUAUUGCUUACGUCUUAAACUAGGACCAAUCUCCAAGUCAUUUACUUAUGUGUCAGGAUAAAAAUAUGAUUACAUAGAUGAGGAAUCGUCGGGUUAACAGUACCUCGAGAUGUGUUUUGAUCCAGCCACAUACUCAAAAGGAAACGCUCAGAAACAGCAAUUGUCGCCACAAAUGAAGAAUGUUCACGUUUGUUUUACAACUUCUUAAUGCACCGCAUUCAGUCUUCCUGUAAACUUGACUGCUUAGUCCUUAAAGUAUAUUGGUGGAGCAAUGUCUGCAUGCCUUCGUCAACACAUCUAUUGGCCUGUUUGUCCCAGCAUCCCAGUUGGAAUGGGAACCCUUCUAAGAAAAGCCUUUAUCCUUUACUCACCUACAAACUCACUGGGCACCCCCGGAAUUGUGGUCCUGGGCGUAUAGCAGGUGUCUAGUCACUCUUUUCUGGUUGUGCCAGUAAUUGGGGCCUGAUUACAAUUCUGUUUCAUCCAGUGCACCUCAAUGGAGAGAAACCAGCAAGAAACUCAUGCUUUCUGCCCCAUCUCCUUCCUUUCUUCUGUGUGUAAAGUGGAGAAAAGGCUGGAGAGUGUGGUAAGAUAGGAAGAAACCAAGCAAAGCACACAUAAACAAACAAAUGAAUAAAUAAAAGGGAAAAAUAGGGGAGAUUUUGAGUUGUCAAGAAAAGAAGAACUCUGAACUUUUGGCACAGACUCAAACCUGGAAACCCAGUGAGGUUUGCCCAUCACUAAUGAUCACAUAAUAAUAUGUUCCCAGGGGAGGGGCUGAGAGAGGCUAUUAAAAUACCGCAGCUCUGGUGCUCUAUGGGAGACAAGUUUUCUGAAACGUGGUCCCUGUCAGAUUUCCCUUGAGAGUCAAAGGGAAAAAUGACUGCAGUUUGGCUUCUAAAAGGUAAAAUGUUGGGAAAACUCACUGGGGAGGUUUCUUUCCCCAGCACAGGGUUUGGAAAUGCCUGCGUUUGCGUUGUAUAUUUUAAAUGUGGUGAUGGGCCAGCUUGUUAAGUGUGCUGGCUUGCUUACUGGGUGACUGGCAGGCAGCCGUAAGUGAGCGGAAACAAAACCAUUUGUGGGGUAUGAGGUGGCCAAGGUAGCCAGAACCAGCCUUUUGUGAUGUCUUCAAUAAAAACAGUUAUUUC
This 1426-nucleotide long non-coding RNA is filed under the name Homo sapiens (human). RNAcentral describes it as "HSALNT0399435". The record is from RNAcentral. Lineage: Eukaryota; Metazoa; Chordata; Mammalia; Primates; Hominidae.